GACGAACGCUGGCGGCGUGCUUAACACAUGCAAGUCGAACGGCAAGGCCCUGCUUUUGUGGUGUGCUCGAUUGGCGAUCGCGUGAGUAACACGUGAGUAACCUGCCCUUGACUUUGGUAUAACUUCAGGUAACUGGGGCUAAUACCGUAUAGGAGCUCCUGCUUCAUUGUGGGGGUUGGAAAGUUUAGGCGGUUGGGGUUGGACUCGCGGCUUAUCAGCUUGUUGGUGGGGUAGUGGCUUACCAAGGCUUUGGCGGGUAGCCGGCCUGAGAGGGUGACCGGCGACAAUGGGACUGAGAUACGGCCCAGACUCGUACGGGAGGCAGCGGUGGGGAAUAUUGAACAAUGGGCGGAAGCCUGAUGCAGAAACGCCGCGUGCGGGAUGACGGCCUUCGGGUUGUAAAAAGCUUUAGCCUGUGACGAAGCGUGAGUGACGGUAAUGGGUAAAGAAGCACCGGCUAACUACGUG
Molecule: ribosomal RNA, 468 nt
Filed under: uncultured bacterium
Lineage: Bacteria
Description: partial 16S ribosomal RNA
Rfam family: Bacterial small subunit ribosomal RNA
Source: RNAcentral